Zingiber officinale is the source of this 1326-nucleotide RNA transcript. RefSeq lists it as uncharacterized. Lineage: Eukaryota; Viridiplantae; Streptophyta; Magnoliopsida; Zingiberales; Zingiberaceae. The record is from RefSeq and is a predicted model, not a curated record. The transcript has 5 exons.
CUUUUUCCUUCCAUUUUCUUAAAAGUUUGUUGCUUCGCGUCUAAAGCCGUGUGUUCAGAUGGGGACGUUGUCGACUUAGUGGGUACUUUGUAGAGACGCUUGUGGUGGGGGACAAGCUAGGCGUACUUCCGCACACUAUCCGGGUCUCCCUCGAGGGGGAGCUCUUCGCAGUCGACGCCACAAAUAACAAUAUAGUUCGGAUCACUCCGCCUCUCUCCCAGUGUAAUUCCCCCGUUCCCUUCACUUCCUAGUUUUUCUAUUGCGAUCUACCAUAAGAGAUUGGAGGUUGUAUCAGAUAGCAGAGCAAGAUUUGGUUGCCGGGUCAUUUAAGGGAUUCUCUGGACAUGUAGAGAUGGUAAACCUGCAGAUGCUCGUUUCUAUCGUCCAAAAGGUGCCGCUAUGGAUGACAAAGGGAAUGUGUAUGUUGCUGAUAUCUCCAAUAUGGCUAUUCGAAAGAUAACUGAAUCAGGUGUGACUACUAUUGCUGGAGGAAAAUCAAAUAUAGCAGGUUAUAGAGAUGGCCCGAGUGAGGAUGCUAAGUUUUCUAAUGACUUUGAUGUGAUAUAUGUUGGAAGAACUUGUUCUCUUCUAGUCGUGGACAGGGGUAAUGCUGCUCUUCGCCAAAUUUCUCUUCAGCAAGAGGACUGCCAAUACCAGUAUACUUCAGUAUCAACAUCAGGUUACCUGAAGCUUCCCAGUGAUGUUCUUUGUAAUUCUUUUUGUACACAACAAACAUGGAACUAUAACAUAUUACAACCUUACAAUAUGGCACCAUCGGAGGUGUAUCAGGUAUAUGCCAUCAUUUUCUUUUUGUCCCACUAUGAAGCAAGUGCUAUCCUCAGAUAGGCCCAUAAUCAGUGUCAAUGCAAAGAUAGUCGAUAGGUGUAUGCCUACAGCUUUGGUUUUGAAUUUCAAUAAAUCCAGUCCUCUUCCUUCUGAAGUUGAUCUGAUUAGGAUUUUCUGUCGCUAUGGGCCCAUAGUGGAAGUAGCAACAGAAGUUCAACAGGAGAGCAACAGCGUCAAACUAAUUUUUAAGCGGCUUACUGAUGCCGAGAUGGCUUUUAGUAGUGCCAGAAAAUAUGGAUGGUUUGGGCCAUCACUUCUCAGUUAUCAUCUCAGAUAUCUAUCGUCAACACCAGAUACUUUUGCUGACAUCCAACAAUCAGACAAUUAUGCUGCACUACCAGAACAUAGCAACUUGGAAACUCCAGGGAAUGAUUCUGAACAGUUGCAUUCUUGCUUAUGAGAUUUGGAAGAUGGCAUCAGAGUUUACAAAUCUCAAGUACUCCAGAGUUGAAAUUGAUGAAGUGCGGUUCGAGUGGGCUG